This 461-nucleotide ribosomal RNA is filed under the name uncultured bacterium. RNAcentral describes it as "partial 16S ribosomal RNA". It matches the Rfam family "Bacterial small subunit ribosomal RNA", at positions 339 to 795 of the family's 1533-position model. The record is from RNAcentral.
CUACGGGUCGCAGCAGUCGAGAAUCUUCCGCAAUGGACGAAAGUCUGACGGAGCGACGCCGCGUGCGGGAUGAAGGCCUUCGGGUUGUAAACCGCUGUCAGUGGGGAGGAAAUGCAUCAGGGUUCUCCCUGGUGUUUGACCGAUCCGCAGAGGAAGCGCAGGCUAAGUUCGUGCCAGCAGCCGCGGUAACACGAACUGCGCGAACGUUAUUCGGAAUCACUGGGCUUAAAGAGUUCGUAGGCGGCCUGUCAAGUCGGGUGUGAAAUCCUUCGGCUCAACCGAGGAAUUGCGCCUGAUACUGUUGGGCUUGAGGGGGAUAGGGGUGAGCGGAACUGAUGGUGGAGCGGUGAAAUGCGUUGAUAUCAUCAGGAACACCGGUGGCGAAGGCGGCUCACUGGAUCUCUUCUGACGCUGAGGAACGAAAGCUAGGGGAGCGAACGGGAUUAGAUACCCUUGUAGUC